This is a long non-coding RNA of Harpia harpyja (harpy eagle), 526 nucleotides long. RefSeq lists it as uncharacterized. The transcript has 4 exons. The record is from RefSeq and is a predicted model, not a curated record. NCBI's taxonomy places the organism in Eukaryota, Metazoa, Chordata, Aves, Accipitriformes, Accipitridae.
GGACAAUUCAGAGGGGAUUUCUACCUUUCCAGGAGAGAGGGCUGAAACAAAGUCUGCAGAUGAAGAACCAUCACACCUUUAUUCAGAAUGCCCUUGGGUCCCUCUGAUGCGGAAGGGAGCUGGCCCUUAGAAGACAGCGUACAGGACUGGACAACGUCUUACCAUAAUGCUGCAGAGCAGUUGGAAGGGAAUUCAAAGAAAUGCAACGCUAGUGAUUGCUGAGGGGACUGGCUUACGAGAAAAGCUUAAAACUUCUCUGAUUACAUCUGUGCCCAGUGGGAUGUGGCGAGGAUCUUCCCAACAAGUAGACAGAAAAAAGAAAUUUUGUGAUAUUGGCCACUGCAUAAGAGCUGAUUCCUCAUUUGGGGAGCAGGUCUGCCUACCAGAUUGUCAGAAAAUGUCUUCAAAAUGGCCAGCAUGAGGCUUCCACCAAGACUUAUCAACAACUGAGCAACAAAAAACCCCAUGUUAUGGAAUUAGAAAAAGGCAAGAAAGGAGCAGGGGAGCUGAUAGCGUGCUCCCUUCA